CUCGGUGUGGCGCAGUCUGGUAGCGCAUCUGGUUUGGGACCAGAGGGUCGGGAGUUCGAAUCUCUCCACCGAGACCA
RNAcentral lists this transfer RNA (77 nucleotides) under bacterium. RNAcentral's name for it is "tRNA-Pro". It matches the Rfam family "tRNA". Rfam says of the family: Transfer RNA (tRNA) molecules are approximately 80 nucleotides in length. Their secondary structure includes four short double-helical elements and three loops (D, anti-codon, and T loops). The record is from RNAcentral.